Molecule: ribosomal RNA, 253 nt
Filed under: uncultured bacterium
Lineage: Bacteria
Description: partial 16S ribosomal RNA
Rfam family: Bacterial small subunit ribosomal RNA
Source: RNAcentral
UACGAAGGGGGCGAGCGUUAUUCGGAAUCACUGGGCGUAAAGCGUGCGUAGGCUGUUUGGCAAGUUGGAAGUGAAAGCCCGGGGCUCAACCCCGGAAUUGCUUUCAAAACUGCCAGACUCGAAUCUCGGAGAGGAUAGCGGAAUUUCCAGUGUAGUAGUGAAAUACGUAGAUAUUGGAAGGAACACCGGUGGCGAAAGCGGCGCGCUGGACCUCUUCUGACGCUGAGGCGCGAAAGCCAGGGGAGCAAACGGG